GAUGAACGCUAGCUACAGGCUUAACACAUGCAAGUCGAGGGGAAACGAUAUUGGAAGCUUGCUUCCGAUAGGCGUCGACCGGCGCACGGGUGAGUAACGCGUAUCCAACCUGCCCACCACUUGGGGAUAACCUUGCGAAAGUAGGACUAAUACCCAAUGAUAUCUCUAGAAGACAUCUGAAGGAGAUUAAAGAAUUAUCGGUGAUGGAUGGGGAUGCGUCUGAUUAGCUUGUUGGCGGGGUAACGGCCCACCAAGGCGACGAUCAGUAGGGGUUCUGAGAGGAAGGUCCCCCACAUUGGAACUGAGACACGGUCCAAACUCCUACGGGAGGCAGCAGUGAGGAAUAUUGGUCAAUGGACGAGAGUCUGAACCAGCCAAGUAGCGUGCAGGAUGACGGCCCUAUGGGUUGUAAACUGCUUUUAUAAGGGAAUAAAGUGAGUCUCGUGAGACUUUUUGCAUGUACCUUAUGAAUAAGGACCGGCUAAUUCCGUGCCAGCCGCCGCCGUAA
This 508-nucleotide ribosomal RNA is filed under the name uncultured bacterium. Its description in RNAcentral is "partial 16S ribosomal RNA". It matches the Rfam family "Bacterial small subunit ribosomal RNA", at positions 28 to 523 of the family's 1533-position model. The record is from RNAcentral.